UACGUAGGUGGCAAGCGUUUGUCCGGAGUUAUUGGGCGUAAAGCGCGCGCAGGCGGUGCGGUAAGUCUCUGGUGAAAGCGCUCGGCUUAACUGGGCGAGGGCCGGGGAGACUGCCACGCUGGAGGGGAGCAGAGGCGAGUGGAAUUCCGGGUGUAGUGGUGAAAUGCGUAGAGAUCCGGAGGAACACCAGUGGCGAAGGCGGCUCGCUGGGCUCUACCUGACGCUGAGGCGCGAAGGCGUGGGGAGCGAACCGG
This 254-nucleotide ribosomal RNA is filed under the name uncultured bacterium. RNAcentral describes it as "partial 16S ribosomal RNA". It matches the Rfam family "Bacterial small subunit ribosomal RNA", at positions 524 to 776 of the family's 1533-position model. The record is from RNAcentral.